This 1319-nucleotide long non-coding RNA is filed under the name Homo sapiens (human). RNAcentral's name for it is "HSALNT0028570". The record is from RNAcentral. Lineage: Eukaryota; Metazoa; Chordata; Mammalia; Primates; Hominidae.
GACUUCUAAUGCCAAGUCACACACAAAAAUGCUAUUUCUGCCAGGUUAUCUUGGAAUACUUUGUCUUGGAAUUCAGCCCUCAUGCUGUGAAGAAGUGCAAGCGGACUACGGGGAGGCUGAUGAGGCAAGGAACCAAGGCCCCUGGUCUGCAGCUCCAGCUGAGCUUGCAGCUGCCAGCCUGCAUGAGCUCUCCAGCCUGUGAGAGAGCCAUCCUGACAGAGGGUUACCCUCAGUCAAGUAGCACUAGAUGUGGAGAAGAGACAAGUCAUCCCUGCUUACAAGGCCUACUUACACUGCAGAUUUAUAAGGGAAACUGAGGUACAGAGGAGGGGAAGAGCCAUGAUUGACUUCAUGCAACUCAUCAGGGAGGGCACCCAGAUUUACACGUGGAUCUGUGUCACUACAAAGCAGUGCCCUUGACUUAACACUCCAUCACUUUCCAUACAAGCUUCAAACUGAACUCCACCUUCAUUAGCUUGGUGAGCGCAGACCGCUGAACUCUUCUAACAUCUGUCUUAGAGGUUAUGUGUUGGCUGCUGCGUUCAGAGCUAUCCUAAAAGUAACUGAAACAAGGGAUUUUUGACUCCAUGGCUAAACAGUUUCUGGGGAGCAGACCUUGAUUCUACCAUUACUUAGAAAACAAAUCAAAUUAGAGUCAGACUAGUGAUGUUGUCAGAACUUUUCAAACAUAAAGACCCAUGAAUGGACAUGUACACUUGGGAUCAAAAGCACUCUCCUCUUCCAAACAGCAGUCUACACUUGGCCUUUUGAGAGGCUGAGCUAUUGCCAAGGACUAUUUAGAUGGAAGAUUUGAUUGUUGGUCAAGGAGACACUGAAGAAGAGAUAAGAUGGUGUACUGGAAUGGAAGGAAGGCUCUGGACAUCAGAACUUUGGGCCACUGUACUGCUGUGUAAAUUUGCGAAACCUACUUAAUCCUUAUGGACUGUUUCCUCAUCUGGAAAAUGAGUUAAAUGAGAUCCAUUUUAUAAAAUUGUUGUAAUGAUUAUAUAAGUAAACACAUAGUAAUAUUAUUUGAUUUUAUUAUUAUUAUUAUGACUUGUCACUCAAAGCAUUUAGCUUUGGUGUCUCUAAUAUUCAGUACUCACAUUUAUGUUCAAAUUUGGAUGCUAGGUAGAAAUGAAGACUUUGUAUCUGCCACCAGAGAAGGCUAUUUAUUAUUUGUCAUUGCCUGUCACGAACUCACAAAGAUAGUAUUUGCCUAUCCAAAGGUAUCUAAUUCCUCAGUUUCUUAUGUGACUAUAAAGGGGCCUACUUUGAUCUUACCAUGAACUCAAAUCCUUUCGAAAUUUCAAUUUGUC